This 497-nucleotide ribosomal RNA is filed under the name uncultured bacterium. Its description in RNAcentral is "partial 16S ribosomal RNA". It matches the Rfam family "Bacterial small subunit ribosomal RNA", at positions 28 to 507 of the family's 1533-position model. The record is from RNAcentral.
GAUGAACGCUGGCGGCGUGCCUAAUACAUGCAAGUCGAGCGAACAGACGAGGAGCUUGCUUCUCUGAUGUUAGCGGCGGACGGGUGAGUAACACGUGGAUAACCUACCUAUAAGACUGGGAUAACUUCGGGAAACCGGAGCUAAUACCGGAUAAUAUUUUGAACCGCAUGGUUCAAUAGUGAAAGACGGUUUUGCUGUCACUUAUAGAUGGAUCCGCGCCGCAUUAGCUAGUUGGUAAGGUAACGGCUUACCAAGGCAACGAUGCGUAGCCGACCUGAGAGGGUGAUCGGCCACACUAGAACUGAGACACGAUCCAGACGCCUACUGGAGGCAGCAGUAGUGGAGCUUCCGCAACGGUCGAAAAACGGACGGAGCAACGACGCGGGGGGAAUGAAGAUCUUCGGAUCGUAAAACUCUGUUAUUAUUGAAGAAGAAAAUAUGAGGUAACAAUGCACGUCUUGACGGUAGCUAAUAAGAAGGCAACGGCUAAAUACGUG